UGUUUGAUGGCUGAGUUGAAGGCGGUAGACUGUAGAUCUAUUGACGGAGUUAAUUCUCCUCAACAA
Molecule: transfer RNA, 66 nt
Filed under: Harpovoluta charcoti
Lineage: Eukaryota; Metazoa; Mollusca; Gastropoda; Neogastropoda; Volutidae
Description: tRNA-Tyr
Rfam family: tRNA
About the family: Transfer RNA (tRNA) molecules are approximately 80 nucleotides in length.
Source: RNAcentral